RNAcentral lists this long non-coding RNA (244 nucleotides) under Homo sapiens (human). RNAcentral describes it as "non-protein coding lnc-FAM172A-7:9". The record is from RNAcentral. Lineage: Eukaryota; Metazoa; Chordata; Mammalia; Primates; Hominidae.
UCCAUCUGCUGAAUGUUGCCAAGUAACAGCCAUCCAUGGAACAUGGAAAAAUGAAUUCACCCGGCCAGGCCCAAAUUGUCGACCCACAGAACAUGAGAUGCAGAAGCUCUAACCAAGGAUUCCUAGAGAGAAAGAGUAGAGCCAUGAGACGAAGGGAGCCUGGGUCCCUAAAUCACCAUGUCGGAGCUCUUCAGCGAAAAGCUGACGCUGAGCUGCUACGUGAGCAAGAGACACCUUGCCCAGU